AAUAAACGAUGGUGAGGUCAGUCGUUGUUGAUGAAGGGUUCUAUAUUAACACCGGCUAGCGGCAACCAAACGUUCAUAGCGAUGUUGCUUUUUGAUCCUUCGAUGUCGGCUCUUUCUAUCGUACUGAAGCAGAAUUCAAUAAGCGUUGGAUUGUUUAACCGCUAGUAGGUAACAUGAGCUGGAUUUAGACCGUCGUGAAACAGGUCAGUUUUAUCCUACCGAUGAAAUGGUAAUGCAAAAGUAAUUGAACUUGUUACGAGGGAACCGCUCAUUGGGAUAAUUGGUAUUCAAGCCUGCCUGAGCAGCCAAUCAGCCGAAACUACUAUCUGUUGGGUUAUGGUUGAACGUCUCUAAGGCAGAACCCGUGCUUGAGCAUGACGAUUACAGCCUUUUCCGACUUUUAGUCGAAUCCGAAUAAACCUUCGGGUCCAAGAUCAUACUACGCGAGGUUAUGUUGCAGGACAGAAAGGCCUUAUGAUGUUCCUGAUAAUGUUAAUUUCGAAUAUCGAAACAGAUAAAUUCAUCGCAGACGACAACAAUUGAACGGGGUAUUGAAAGCAGAAGAGUAGCCUUGCUGCUGCGGGCUGCAGAUAUUAGUCUUUUUCUAUUU
RNAcentral lists this non-coding RNA (610 nucleotides) under Linnemannia elongata AG-77. RNAcentral's name for it is "Mortierella elongata AG-77 Eukaryotic large subunit ribosomal RNA". It matches the Rfam family "Eukaryotic large subunit ribosomal RNA", at positions 2621 to 3399 of the family's 3401-position model. Lineage: Eukaryota; Fungi; Mortierellomycota; Mortierellomycetes; Mortierellales; Mortierellaceae. The record is from Rfam by way of RNAcentral.